GUAAGAGCCUUAAUUUAACCUUAAAUGACAUAACCUGAUAAAAAAAAAAUAGCAGUGUGUGUGUGUUUGAGGGGGUGGGGGAUUGAGAGAGAGAAAACAUACAAAGUGGAAUUUCAAAUAUUUUGUUUAUUUUGUUUGAAUGUUUUUUUCUUUUCUUUUUUUUUUUUAGGCAAAGAAUGCAAAGCUUACCCAGGCAGCAAGAGCUGACGUGAUGAAACGUUUGAAGACUACCCUUAAACAAAAAAAGCCUCUGACAUCCACACAAGAUACUUCUGACAAGACAAACAUUGACACGGUUGACACAAACAUUGACAUGUUUGAACAGAAAAGUUCUGAAAAUGUACUUAAUUUCUAAGUUUCUAAACUUUUUAUCUUACUUUUUUAAAUGAUUUUUCUUUGCAGGCAACUUAAAGUUUCCUCUCUGUUUUUAAGGAUAAUGACGAUAAUGUUGGUGUGUCACAUUCAAAAUUCUGUGGUCCACUUGCUGCAUCAACUCACAGAGAGUUGUUUGAUGAAGAUAGUGAAGAAGAAGAAAGCCUUCUAGGUUGUCACCAGCCAGAGAAAGUCAUGGUAGAAAUUGAUAAUGAUGCCAUAAUUACAUCCCUCUGUGGUAAGUGCACAUUAAGAUUUGAGGUUGGAAUAAGUUAUUUUAUAUGUGAGAAGUACUAUGAGAAUUUAAGGCUGUCAUAGAGAGUAAGCAAGUGAUAUCACAUUUGUUGUCCAGUAGAAGUAUCAAUAGCAUAUACUAUGCAUAUAUCCAAGUGUGGAUGGGUGUAAACCAUUAAAAAAUUAACUGUAGCUGCUGUUGCAGGAUAUUUUUUAACACUUAAGAAAGCCCCGAGUUUCACCUCUUUGUGGUGCCAUUCAUGUGCAUUCAUCUCAUAAAAUAUUUCCAAUACAAUUUGAAGGCAGCACUUUUGUAAUCACAAAAACUCUUAAGAACAACUGGCUUUGUUGAAAUCAGUGUAAGGAAACCCAAUUUUGGCUACGUAUUGAUCUCCAAAGACCAUUGAUUCUUUUGUCAUUUCAAUUGGUUGCUGAUCAGUUGUUUCC
RNAcentral lists this long non-coding RNA (1053 nucleotides) under Astyanax mexicanus (Mexican tetra). Its description in RNAcentral is "lncRNA (ENSAMXG00005009277.1)". The record is from RNAcentral. Lineage: Eukaryota; Metazoa; Chordata; Actinopteri; Characiformes; Acestrorhamphidae.